CUGGCUCAGAUUGAACGCUGGCGGCAGGCCUAACACAUGCAAGUCGAGCGGAUGAAGGGAGCUUGCUCCUGGAUUCAGCGGCGGACGGGUGAGUAAUGCCUAGGAAUCUGCCUGGUAGUGGGGGAUAACGUCCGGAAACGGGCGCUAAUACCGCAUACGUCCUGAGGGAGAAAGUGGGGGAUCUUCGGACCUCACGCUAUCAGAUGAGCCUAGGUCGGAUUAGCUAGUUGGUGGGGUAAAGGCCUACCAAGGCGACGAUCCGUAACUGGUCUGAGAGGAUGAUCAGUCACACUGGAACUGAGACACGGUCCAGACUCCUACGGGAGGCAGCAGUGGGGAAUAUUGGACAAUGGGCGAAAGCCUGAUCCAGCCAUGCCGCGUGUGUGAAGAAGGUCUUCGGAUUGUAAAGCACUUUAAGUUGGGAGGAAGGGCAGUAAGUUAAUACCUUGCUGUUUUGACGUUACCAACAGAAUAAGCACCGGCUAACUUCGUGCCAGCAGCCGCGGUAAUACGAAGGGUGCAAGCGUUAAUCGGAAUUACUGGGCGUAAAGCGCGCGUAGGUGGUUCAGCAAGUUGGAUGUGAAAUCCCCGGGCUCAACCUGGGAACUGCAUCCAAAACUACUGAGCUAGAGUACGGUAGAGGGUGGUGGAAUUUCCUGUGUAGCGGUGAAAUGCGUAGAUAUAGGAAGGAACACCAGUGGCGAAGGCGACCACCUGGACUGAUACUGACACUGAGGUGCGAAAGCGUGGGGAGCAAACAGGAUUAGAUACCCUGGUAGUCCACGCCGUAAACGAUGUCGACUAGCCGUUGGGAUCCUUGAGAUCUUAGUGGCGCAGCUAACGCGAUAAGUCGACCGCCUGGGAUUCGCCCCG
This 873-nucleotide ribosomal RNA is filed under the name Pseudomonas aeruginosa. RNAcentral describes it as "bacterial SSU rRNA". It matches the Rfam family "Bacterial small subunit ribosomal RNA", at positions 19 to 888 of the family's 1533-position model. Lineage: Bacteria; Pseudomonadati; Pseudomonadota; Gammaproteobacteria; Pseudomonadales; Pseudomonadaceae. The record is from RNAcentral.